GACGAACGCUGGCGGCGUGCCUAAUACAUGCAAGUAGAACGCUGAAGGAGGAGCUUGCUUCUCUGGAUGAGUUGCGAACGGGUGAGUAACGCGUAGGUAACCUGCCUGGUAGCGGGGGAUAACUAUUGGAAACGAUAGCUAAUACCGCAUAAUAGCAGUUAUUGCAUGAUAACUGUUUGAAAGGUGCAAUUGCACCACUACCAGAUGGGCCUGCGUUGUAUUAGCUAGUUGGUGGGGUAACGGCUCACCAAGGCGACGAUACAUAGCCGACCUGAGAGGGUGAUCGGCCACACUGGGACUGAGACACGGCCCAGACUCCUACGGGAGGCAGCAGUAGGGAAUCUUCGGCAAUGGACGGAAGUCUGACCGAGCAACGCCGCGUGAAUGAAGAAGGUUUUCGGAUCGUAAAGCUCUGUUGUAAGAGAAGAACGAGUGUGAGAGUGGAAAGUUCACACUGUGACGGUAUCUUACCAGAAAGGGACGGCUAACUACGUG
RNAcentral lists this ribosomal RNA (495 nucleotides) under uncultured bacterium. Its description in RNAcentral is "partial 16S ribosomal RNA". It matches the Rfam family "Bacterial small subunit ribosomal RNA", at positions 28 to 507 of the family's 1533-position model. The record is from RNAcentral.